RNAcentral lists this ribosomal RNA (200 nucleotides) under uncultured eukaryote. RNAcentral's name for it is "partial 18S ribosomal RNA". It matches the Rfam family "Eukaryotic small subunit ribosomal RNA", at positions 588 to 799 of the family's 1831-position model. The record is from RNAcentral.
GCUCUAAUAGCGUAUAUUAAAGUUGUUGCAGUUAAAAAGCUCGUAGUCGGAUGUCGGGCUCGGGCAAGCUGUCGGCCUUUGGUCGGACGGCAGGCUCGGGUCUUUCUGCCUGAGGAACCGCUUGCUUUAACCGGCUGGCGGUGGACGCAGGUCGUUUACUUUGAAAAAAUUAGAGUGUUCAAAGCAGGCUAGCGCUUGAA